UCCCCACCUCUUGGCCAUACUUGCCCGGAACUCAGCCUCAGCCACAGGUAGCUGGGGCAGCAUGAGAAAUGCUGAUGUCCGGCUCCUCCCCGGAAGAAAGCCCCUCACGGGGAGCUGAGGGGAGAGUGAGCCCUGUGCUCUUGGCUGCAGUCUGGAGUGGACUUUUUUCUCGCAUAAACCCACAAGGUUGAGGAGGAGAGGAGUAGAGAUCACAGCAACGCAAUUCUGGAAAUGGAAAGCAGAAGGAUAAGAGUCAACAGGAUGUGUGAGGACUGCCACGACAGCAGAGUGAACACGCCAGCAUCCUCUCCUAAGUAAACUUCAGACUUCCAUUACUAACACCAACAUCCGUCCUGCUGCUUAAUCCUCUUAAUCCCUCUAACGCACUCACGACCCGGGGACAACUUUUGCAUGCUGUUACCUGCUCUCAUUUUCAUACACUUCAAAAAACCCCAAAUGAUGCCUGAUUACCAAAAGAGCAAGAACAAAAUCUGCUGACCGAGAAGCAGCUGGGAGAACAGCGGUGGACAAAGCAGAAAACCGCGAGCAGUGUUAGCCGCACUUCAACAUUUUCAAUCCUCUCCAUCUGCCGACUUAGAAACAUGAGCCCCAGGAAUGUGAAAAAUGAGGAACAAUGUUAAUUAAAGGCAGAUGGAUUAGCAAUAGUGGGGACCUGAUCAGUGACUCCUGAAAGGAGGGAGGAAAAGAGAGAGACCGGGAUUAAUGAAAGACAAAUGAUGCUGCAACCUUGAACGGAGGAUCAUGGCUCCACCCGUUGGUCAAGUCCUCUAUUCCUGGCCCCUGCUUUGAAUCCUUACAAGUUCACUCCUGGUGGGAAGAGCCUUAGGGUUUGGAAGCUUGAACUUGCCCUUGGAGUUCUUGGUCCAAGCUGGAAUGGGUCAAGGAAAAGGGUGGGAGCUAUUUAGUAUGACAACUUCUCUCACUGAA
Long non-coding RNA from Equus caballus (horse), 948 nucleotides. RefSeq lists it as uncharacterized. NCBI's taxonomy places the organism in Eukaryota, Metazoa, Chordata, Mammalia, Perissodactyla, Equidae. The record is from RefSeq and is a predicted model, not a curated record.